Molecule: ribosomal RNA, 253 nt
Filed under: uncultured bacterium
Lineage: Bacteria
Description: partial 16S ribosomal RNA
Rfam family: Bacterial small subunit ribosomal RNA
Source: RNAcentral
UACGUAGGGUGCAAGCGUUGUCCGGAAUUAUUGGGCGUAAAGAGCGUGCAGGCGGCCCGAUUAGUCUGCUGUGAAAGUCCAGGGCUCAACCCUGGAAUGCCGGUGGAUACUGUCGGGCUAGAGUCCGGAAGGGGCGAGUGGAAUUCCUGGUGUAGCGGUGAAAUGCGCAGAUAUCAGGAGGAACACCAAUGGCGAAGGCAGCUCGCUGGGACGUGACUGACGCUGAGACGCGAAAGCGUGGGGAGCAAACAGG